GCAUUGGUGGUUGAGUGGUAGAAUUCUUGCUUUCUAUGUGAGAAACCCAGGCUCAAUUUCUGGUCAGUGCA
Molecule: transfer RNA, 71 nt
Filed under: Loxodonta africana (African savanna elephant)
Lineage: Eukaryota; Metazoa; Chordata; Mammalia; Proboscidea; Elephantidae
Rfam family: tRNA
About the family: Transfer RNA (tRNA) molecules are approximately 80 nucleotides in length. Their secondary structure includes four short double-helical elements and three loops (D, anti-codon, and T loops).
Source: Rfam by way of RNAcentral